Molecule: ribosomal RNA, 497 nt
Filed under: uncultured bacterium
Lineage: Bacteria
Description: partial 16S ribosomal RNA
Rfam family: Bacterial small subunit ribosomal RNA
Source: RNAcentral
GAUGAACGCUGGCGGCGUGCCUAAUACAUGCGAGUCGAGCGAACGGACGAGAAGCUUGCUUCUCUGAUGUUAGCGGCGGGCGGGUGAGUAACACGUGGAUAACCUACCUAUAAGACUGGGAUAACUUCGGGAAACCGGAGCUAAUACCGGAUAAUAUUUUGAACCGCAUGGUUCAAAAGUGAAAGACGGUCUUGCUGUCACUUAUAGAUGGAUCCGCGCUGCAUUAGCUAGUUGGUAAGGUAACGGCUUACCAAGGCAACGAUGCAUAGCCGACCUGAGAGGGUGAUCGGCCACACUGGAACUGAGACACGGUCCAGACUCCUACGGGAGGCAGCAGUAGGGAAUCUUCCGCAAUGGGCGAAAGCCUGACGGAGCAACGCCGCGUGAGUGAUGAAGGUCUUCGGAUCGUAAAACUCUGUUAUUAGGGAAGAACAUAUGUGUAAGUAACUGUGCACAUCUUGACGGUACCUAAUCAGAAAGCCACGGCUAACUACGUG